UACGUAGGCAGCAAGCGUUGUCCGGAAUUAUUGGGCGUAAAGAGCUCGUAGGUGGCUUGUCGCGUCUGCCGUGAAAGCCCGUGGCUUAACUACGGGUCUGCGGUGGAUACGGGCAGGCUAGAGGCUGGUAGGGGCAAGCGGAAUUCCUGGUGUAGCGGUGAAAUGCGCAGAUAUCAGGAGGAACACCGGUGGCGAAGGCGGCUUGCUGGGCCAGUUCUGACGCUGAGGAGCGAAAGCGUGGGGAGCGAACAGG
Molecule: ribosomal RNA, 253 nt
Filed under: uncultured bacterium
Lineage: Bacteria
Description: partial 16S ribosomal RNA
Rfam family: Bacterial small subunit ribosomal RNA
Source: RNAcentral